Ornithorhynchus anatinus (platypus) is the source of this 138-nucleotide non-coding RNA. NCBI's taxonomy places the organism in Eukaryota, Metazoa, Chordata, Mammalia, Monotremata, Ornithorhynchidae. The record is from Rfam.
CCCUUCUCAGGAUUGCACCUGGAGAAUUUCCAGUACUCUACCAGUCUGGACUAUGGGAGGGAGAGUCAAGCAGAGGCCUGUCCAUUCCAUUCCUAGUUUUGGCAGUGACUAGCGAGUGGAAGGCCAUCUGCUACAAGU